Molecule: transfer RNA, 62 nt
Filed under: Listeria monocytogenes
Lineage: Bacteria; Bacillati; Bacillota; Bacilli; Caryophanales; Listeriaceae
Description: tRNA-His
Rfam family: tRNA
About the family: Transfer RNA (tRNA) molecules are approximately 80 nucleotides in length. Their secondary structure includes four short double-helical elements and three loops (D, anti-codon, and T loops).
Source: RNAcentral
UGUGGCGAAGUGGUUAACGCACCUGAUUGUGGUUCAGGCAUUCGUGGGUUCGAUUCCCAUCA